GAUGAACGCUGGCGGCGUGCUUAACACAUGCAAGUCGAACGGAAAGGCCCAAGCUUGCUUGGGUACUCGAGUGGCGAACGGGUGAGUAACACGUGGGUGAUCUGCCCUGCACUUCGGGAUAAGCCUGGGAAACUGGGUCUAAUACCGGAUAGGACCACAUUUUGGAUGGUGUGGUGGAAAGUUUUUCGGUGUGGGAUGAGCUCGCGGCCUAUCAGCGUGUUGGUGGGGUAAUGGCCUACCAAGGCGUCGACGGGUAGCCGGCCUGAGAGGGUGUACGGCCACAUUGGGACUGAGAUACGGCCCAGACUCCUACGGGAGGCAGCAGUGGGGAAUAUUGCACAAUGGGCGCAAGCCUGAUGCAGCGACGCCGCGUGGGGGAUGACGGCCUUCGGGUUGUAAACUCCUUUCGCUAGGGACGAAGCGUUUUUGUGACGGUACCUGGAGAAGAAGCACCGGCUAACUACGUG
Molecule: ribosomal RNA, 467 nt
Filed under: uncultured bacterium
Lineage: Bacteria
Description: partial 16S ribosomal RNA
Rfam family: Bacterial small subunit ribosomal RNA
Source: RNAcentral